GUGGAUUAGAUACCCUGGUAGUCCACGCCGUAAACGAUGAUCACUCGCUGUUAGCGAUACACAGUUAGCGGCUAAGCAAAAGCAUUAAGUGAUCCACCUGGGGAGUACGGCCGCAAGGCUGAAACUCAAAGGAAUUGACGGGGGCCCGCACAAGCGGAGGAACAUGUGGUUUAAUUCGAUGAUACGCGAGGAACCUUACCUGGGCUUAAAUGUAGAGUGCAUUCCGCCGAAAGGUGGAUUUCCUUCGGGACUCUUUACAAGGUGCUGCACCGUCGUCGUCAACU
This 284-nucleotide ribosomal RNA is filed under the name uncultured bacterium. Its description in RNAcentral is "partial 16S ribosomal RNA". It matches the Rfam family "Bacterial small subunit ribosomal RNA", at positions 773 to 1060 of the family's 1533-position model. The record is from RNAcentral.